This 334-nucleotide ribosomal RNA is filed under the name uncultured eukaryote. RNAcentral's name for it is "partial 18S ribosomal RNA". It matches the Rfam family "Eukaryotic small subunit ribosomal RNA", at positions 1470 to 1796 of the family's 1831-position model. The record is from RNAcentral.
CCCUUAGAUGUCCGGGGCUGCACGCGCGCUACACUGACUGGCUCAGCGUGUGCCUACCCUACGCCGGCAGGCGCGGGUAACCCGUUGAACCCCAUUCGUGAUGGGGAUCGGGGAUUGCAAUUAUUCCCCAUGAACGAGGAAUUCCCAGUAAGUGCGGGUCAUAAGCUUGCGUUGAUUAAGUCCCUGCCCUUCGUACACACCGCCCGUCGCUACUACCGAUUGGAUGGUUUAGUGAGGCCCUCGGAUCGGCCCCGCCGGGGUCGGCCCACGGUCCUGGCGGAGCGCUGAGAAGACGGUCGAACUUGACUAUCUAGAGGAAGUAAAAGUCGUAACA